CCUCCCCUGAGGGUCUGUUAUUACUUCUUGGAAGACCUUGGCUGUCCUUGCUUGCAUGAUUGGAAAGAGUACGAUUCUGAAUUUGGGUUUAUGAUAAAGUACGAUCAUUGUGAAAAGGUGUUUUAUCUCCAGCUGUUGAGCAAUCCAGGAAAAAAAAACAAAACGGAAGAAGGAUACCGAGCCAGCUAGCCAAAUAAUAACUGAUGAUAGCAUCUGAUCUGUGUGACUUUUGACAGCUGCAAGAGGAACCGUGUCAUCUUGCAAGAGUAUAAAUUGCCAGCGGAGAGACCGCAGCCCCACACUGAAGGCAUCAUGCAAGUCCUCCUCCUGCUCGCGGGUCUAGGGUUCUGCUGGGGGCAGUACAACCCCAACGUUCAGGCCGGGACGACAUCUAUCGUACAUCUCUUUGAAUGGCGCUGGGCCGAUAUUGCUCUUGAGUGUGAGCGCUAUUUAGCUCCUUAUGGAUUUGGGGGAGUCCAGGUUUCACCUCCAAAUGAAAACAUUAUCGUUACUGACCCAUUCAGACCCUGGUGGGAAAGAUACCAGCCCAUCAGCUACAAGCUCUGCACUCGGUCAGGAGACGAAAACGAAUUCAGGGACAUGGUGACCAGAUGCAACAACGUUGGAGUUCACAUUUAUGUGGAUGCUGUGGUCAACCACAUGUGUGGCUCCGGGGGUGGCUCAGGCACUCAUUCUACCUGCGGAAGCUACUUUAAUGCCGGCGAGAGAGAUUUUCCAGCUGUGCCAUACUCUGGCUGGGAUUUCAAUGAUGGCAAAUGUCAAACUGCAAGUGGAGAAAUUGAAAAUUAUGGUGACAUGUAUCAGGUCCGGGACUGUCGCUUGACUGGCCUUCUUGAUCUGGCCCUGGAGAAGGACUAUGUACGCUCCACAGUUGCUGAGUACAUGAACCGUCUCAUUGAUAUUGGCGUAGCAGGCUUCCGAAUUGAUGCUGCCAAGCAUAUGUGGCCUGGGGACAUAAAAGCAUUUCUGGACCAGCUGAAAGAUCUAAAUACUGAAUGGUUUUCUGCAGGAACAAGACCUUUCAUUUACCAAGAGGUAAUUGACUUGGGUGGAGAGCCGAUCACAGGCAGUGACUACUUUGAGAACGGCCGAGUGACAGAAUUCAAAUACGGUGGCCAAACUGGGGACGGUGAUCCGCAAGUGGGAUGGAGAAAAGAUGGCUUACUUAGUGAACUGGGGAGAAGGCUGGGGCUUUGUGCCUUCCGACAGAGCCCUGGUUUUUGUGGAUAAUCACGACAACCAGCGGGGCACGGGGCCGGUGGAGCUUUCCAUUCUGACCUUCUGGGACUCCAGGCUUUAUAAGAUGGCAGUUGGUUCAUGCUCGCUCAUCCGUAUGGGUUCACGCGUGUGAUGUCGAGUUUUCGCUGGCCAAGAAUUUUGUAAACGGAGAGGAUGUCAAUGACUGGGUUGGGCCACCAAGCGAGUCGGAUGGCUCGACAAAGGCCGUUACAAUCAACGAAGACACUACCUGUGGCAAUGACUGGGUUUGUGAACAUCGCUGGCGUCAAAUCAGGAACAUGGUUGUCUUCCGUAACGUGGUGGACGGUGAGCCGUUCUCCAACUGGUGGGACAACGACAGCAACCAAGUAGCUUUUGGCCGUGGCAGUAAAGGCUUCAUCGUUUUCAAUAAUGAUGACUGGGAUAUGAACGUCGAUUUGCAAACUGGGCUGCCUGCUGGUACCUACUGUGAUGUUAUUUCUGGAGAUAAGGAGGACAACCGAUGCACUGGAAGCCAGGUGUAUGUUUCUGAGGAUGGACUGGCUAAUUUCCAGAUUAGUAGCCAGGCUGAAGAUCCAUUCAUGGCAAUUCACGUUAAUGCCAAGUUGUAGCUCGGGAGAAACGUCCUUCUCCGUUUGGUCUCUGCGUUACCGUUUCCCCCGCAACUGGUGACUCCCUGGUGUUGAGCAGGAGUGAUUCUCUGUAUCUAGUGAAUAAUAAAUGGCAAGCAAAUU
Molecule: RNA transcript, 1973 nt
Organism: Strigops habroptila (Kakapo)
Lineage: Eukaryota; Metazoa; Chordata; Aves; Psittaciformes; Psittacidae
Gene name: pancreatic alpha-amylase-like
Exons: 10
Source: RefSeq, a predicted model, not a curated record